ACAGGUUUUGCUAGUGAGCGCCAUGCAUGCCUAGAUACCAAGAUAUAGAAGCCCCAGCUUUGAACAACGUGACUGCUACAGGAAAUCGGUCAAAACAAGUGUUCAUAUUGUCUGCUUUUAACUUUAUUUUUAAUCUUGAUUGCUGGAUUAUUCAAAGUUUUGUAUUUUCCAAUGGUCUCUUUCUGAAAUAAAUGCACAUUUUAUUUUGACUAAA
This is a long non-coding RNA of Electrophorus electricus (electric eel), 214 nucleotides long. RefSeq lists it as uncharacterized. NCBI's taxonomy places the organism in Eukaryota, Metazoa, Chordata, Actinopteri, Gymnotiformes, Gymnotidae. The record is from RefSeq and is a predicted model, not a curated record.